CCUACGGGUGGCAGCAGUGAGGAAUAUUGGUCAAUGGGCGCAAGCCUGAACCAGCCAAGUCGCGUGAGGGAUGACGGUCCUAUGGAUUGUAAACCUCUUUUGUCGGGGAGCAAGGCCCGCCACGUGUGGCGGGAAGGAGAGUACCCGAAGAAAAAGCAUCGGCUAACUCCGUGCCAGCAGCCGCGGUAAUACGGAGGAUGCGAGCGUUAUCCGGAUUUAUUGGGUUUAAAGGGUGCGUAGGCCGGCUUUUAAGUCAGCUGUGAAAGUCCGCGGCUCAACCGUGGAAUUGCAGUUGAAACUGGAGGCCUUGAGUGCACACAGGGAUGCCGGAAUUCAUGGUGUAGCGGUGAAAUGCUUAGAUAUCAUGAAGAACUCCGAUCGCGAAGGCAAGUGUCCGGGGUGCAACUGACGCUGAGGCUCGAAAGUGCGGGUAUCAAACAGGAUUAGAUACCCGAGUAGUC
RNAcentral lists this ribosomal RNA (461 nucleotides) under uncultured bacterium. Its description in RNAcentral is "partial 16S ribosomal RNA". It matches the Rfam family "Bacterial small subunit ribosomal RNA", at positions 338 to 795 of the family's 1533-position model. The record is from RNAcentral.